AAGUCGAGCGAACAGAAGGGAGCUUGCUCCCGGAUGUUAGCGGCGGACGGGUGAGUAACACGUGGGUAACCUGCCUGUAAGACUGGGAUAACUCCGGGAAACCGGAGCUAAUACCGGAUAGUUCCUUGAACCGCAUGGUUCAAGGAUGAAAGACGGUUUCGGCUGUCACUUACAGAUGGACCCGCGGCGCAUUAGCUAGUUGGUGGGGUAAUGGCUCACCAAGGCGACGAUGCGUAGCCGACCUGAGAGGGUGAUCGGCCACACUGGGACUGAGACACGGCCCAGACUCCUACGGGAGGCAGCAGUAGGGAAUCUUCCGCAAUGGACGAAAGUCUGACGGAGCAACGCCGCGUGAGUGAUGAAGGUUUUCGGAUCGUAAAGCUCUGUUGUUAGGGAAGAACAAGUGCGAGAGUAACUGCUCGCACCUUGACGGUACCUAACCAGAAAGCCACGGCUAACUACGUGCCAGCAGCCGCGGUAAUACGUAGGUGGCAAGCGUUGUCCGGAAUUAUUGGGCGUAAAGGGCUCGCAGGCGGUUUCUUAAGUCUGAUGUGAAAGCCCCCGGCUCAACCGGGGAGGGUCAUUGGAAACUGGGAAACUUGAGUGCAGAAGA
RNAcentral lists this ribosomal RNA (613 nucleotides) under Bacillus sp. FJAT-4411. Its description in RNAcentral is "bacterial SSU rRNA". It matches the Rfam family "Bacterial small subunit ribosomal RNA", at positions 59 to 655 of the family's 1533-position model. Lineage: Bacteria; Bacillati; Bacillota; Bacilli; Caryophanales; Bacillaceae. The record is from RNAcentral.